This 468-nucleotide ribosomal RNA is filed under the name uncultured bacterium. RNAcentral describes it as "partial 16S ribosomal RNA". It matches the Rfam family "Bacterial small subunit ribosomal RNA", at positions 28 to 507 of the family's 1533-position model. The record is from RNAcentral.
GACGAACGCUGGCGGCGUGCUUAACACAUGCAAGUCGAACGGAAAGGCCCUGCUUUUGUGGGGUGCUCGAGUGGCGAACGGGUGAGUAACACGUGAGUAACCUGCCCUUGACUUUGGGAUAACUUCAGGAAACUGGGGCUAAUACCGGAUAGGAGCUCCUGCUGCAUGGUGGGGGUUGGAAAGUUUCGGCGGUUGGGGAUGGACUCGCGGCUUAUCAGCUUGUUGGUGGGGUAGUGGCUUACCAAGGCUUUGACGGGUAGCCGGCCUGAGAGGGUGACCGGCCACAUUGGGACUGAGAUACGGCCCAGACUCCUACGGGAGGCAGCAGUGGGGAAUAUUGCACAAUGGGCGGAAGCCUGAUGCAGCAACGCCGCGUGCGGGAUGACGGCCUUCGGGUUGUAAACCGCUUUCGCCUGCGACGAAGCGUGAGUGACGGUAAUGGGUAAAGAAGCACAGGCUAACUACGUG